Long non-coding RNA from Anguilla rostrata (American eel), 1115 nucleotides. RefSeq lists it as uncharacterized. The transcript has 3 exons. NCBI's taxonomy places the organism in Eukaryota, Metazoa, Chordata, Actinopteri, Anguilliformes, Anguillidae. The record is from RefSeq and is a predicted model, not a curated record.
AUCUCCCUCACAUAAUGCUCGGUUGUUUUGACAUAAUCGAACAGCUGACGAGCCGAAUGUAACAAGUGCGAUCAAACUUUGCAGGAAACUGCCCAGAUGCGUGCGGGCUGUGCAAGACUCAGAUCAAUAUUAAUGGAAAAUGUCGAAACAAAUGCAAAUCGAUUUCACCAAAUGUGGUUUUACCAAAAGUGGAUCCGAUCACGUUAACAAGCAAGCUUACCAACUAUGGCCAAGUUAACACAUCAAUGAAACUGGAGGCGCAAUCAGGUGACCUAGGGGAGCAGAUUUUGCGCGUUGAGCACCCGUCUGUUUUUGGACGUUAAUGGACCUCCGUUGGUAUAUUUCAACCCAAAACCAUUCGUGAUGUCAUGUCUUAAAGCAGGCCAUCGUUUGUCUGCUUCGUGGAAAACUGGGACAGGUGCCAAGAGAAAGAAAAAGAAGCGACUUUGGGACUACAUCCAAUAGCUUCGGGAAGGAAUCUUGACUAACCCUCCAAGGAUUGGAGGACGAAUGUAAUCACCGUGGAGGAACAGAGGCCGCCAGGUGAGCUGCAGGGCCAGGUGAGCGACCGCGGUUGCCGUGCCAACUCCGGGGCUGAGGCAGCUGCCGUCGGCGCGGUGCUGGCAGCCGAUCCAUCACAGAGUGCGCUGGAGAGAGAGAGACGUGGCGGGGGCCUAACUGUGAGCCCCCCCCCCUCCCCACUCAGCAUUACAGCCAAUUAGAGGCGUCCCACAGAGCCUGUCACUGACAGCCAGGCCACGCCGGUUAGACCCUGGUUAGGAUGCACCCCCCUGUUCCCCACACAGGUGCUUCAGUAGAAUACACCAUUACUCCACUCUGGAAGGCACAAACUGAGGAGAGUUCACACAGAACUGCUGAGCCCUGUGAACAUGCACACGGGGUGCUCUGACUCCUGUGCAACCAGGGCGUGUUGACAACCGAAACACUAAUCUGCAAAAAGCCUUGGAGAAUGCAUCGUUUUUAAAUACGCUUUGUUUACCGACUCUGUUUCACUUCACCCUCCAGUUACUGCACCGAGCAAGCACAGGGUAAAUUGCAUCUUUACGUUUAAAGUGUUGUGAUUGUAACUAUUAAAUGUAUUUUAUUUAGUUGAA